CCAGCUCCAAUAGCGUAUAUUUAAGUUGUUGCAGUUAAAAAGCUCGUAGUUGGAUUUCGGGUGGGUGCUAGCGGUCCGCCUCUGGUGUGUACUGCUAGCGCCCAUCUUUCAGCCGGGGACGGGCUCCUGGGCUUCACUGUCUGGGACUCGGAGUCGGCGUUGUUACUUUGAGUAAAUUAGAGUGUUCAAAGCAAGCCUACGCUCUGAAUACAUUAGCAUGGAAUAACACGAUAGGACUCUGGCCUAUCUUGUUGGUCUGUAGGACCGGAGUAAUGAUUAAGAGGGACAGUCGGGGGCAUUCGUAUUUCAUUGUCAGAGGUGAAAUUCUUGGAUUUAUGAAAGACGAACUACUGCGAAAGCAUUUGCCAAGGAUGUUUUCA
RNAcentral lists this ribosomal RNA (380 nucleotides) under uncultured Chlamydomonadaceae. Its description in RNAcentral is "SSU rRNA". It matches the Rfam family "Eukaryotic small subunit ribosomal RNA", at positions 585 to 972 of the family's 1831-position model. The record is from RNAcentral. Lineage: Eukaryota; Viridiplantae; Chlorophyta; Chlorophyceae; Chlamydomonadales; Chlamydomonadaceae.